AACGAACGCUGGCGGCAGGCCUAACACAUGCAAGUCGAGCGCGCCCUUCGGGGUGAGCGGCGGACGGGUGAGUAACGCGUGGGAACGUGCCCUUUUCUACGGAAUAGCCUCGGGAAACUGAGAGUAAUACCGUAUACGCCCUUUGGGGGAAAGAUUUAUCGGAAAAGGAUCGGCCCGCGUUGGAUUAGGUAGUAGGUGGGGUAAUGGCCUACCAAGCCGACGAUCCAUAGCUGGUUUGAGAGGAUGAUCAGCCACACUGGGACUGAGACACGGCCCAGACUCCUACGGGAGGCAGCAGUGGGGAAUCUUAGACAAUGGGGGCAACCCUGAUCUAGCCAUGCCGCGUGAGUGAUGAAGGCCUUAGGGUUGUAAAGCUCUUUCAGCUGGGAAGAUAAUGACGGUACCAGCAGAAGAAGCCCCGGCUAACUCCGUG
RNAcentral lists this ribosomal RNA (433 nucleotides) under uncultured bacterium. RNAcentral describes it as "partial 16S ribosomal RNA". It matches the Rfam family "Bacterial small subunit ribosomal RNA", at positions 29 to 507 of the family's 1533-position model. The record is from RNAcentral.